Molecule: ribosomal RNA, 648 nt
Filed under: uncultured bacterium
Lineage: Bacteria
Description: bacterial SSU rRNA
Rfam family: Bacterial small subunit ribosomal RNA
Source: RNAcentral
GUAAUGCUUAGGAAUCUGCCAAUUAGUGGGGGACAACAUCUCGAAAGGGAUGCUAAUACCGCAUACGUCCUACGGGAGAAAGCAGGGGACCUUCGGGCCUUGCGCUAAUAGAUGAGCCUAAGUCGGAUCAGCUAGUUGGUGGGGUAAAGGCCUACCAAGGCGACGAUCUGUAGCGGGUCUGAGAGGAUGAUCCGCCACACUGGGACUGAGACACGGCCCAGACUCCUACGGGAGGCAGCAGUGGGGAAUAUUGGACAAUGGGGGGAACCCUGAUCCAGCCAUGCCGCGUGUGUGAAGAAGGCCUUUUGGUUGUAAAGCACUUUAAGCGAGGAGGAGGCUACCGAGAUUAAUACUCUUGGAUAGUGGACGUUACUCGCAGAAUAAGCACCGGCUAACUCUGUGCCAGCAGCCGCGGUAAUACAGAGGGUGCAAGCGUUAAUCGGAUUUACUGGGCGUAAAGCGCGCGUAGGUGGCCAAUUAAGUCAAAUGUGAAAUCCCCGAGCUUAACUUGGGAAUUGCAUUCGAUACUGGUUGGCUAGAGUAUGGGAGAGGAUGGUAGAAUUCCAGGUGUAGCGGUGAAAUGCGUAGAGAUCUGGAGGAAUACCGAUGGCGAAGGCAGCCAUCUGGCCUAAUACUGACACUGAGGUG